GAACCCGAACAUUGCUUAAGAAGGUUAUUUUCUCAUCGCCGGCCCAGGACAUCUCCCCUUCCUACCCUACAUCGACAUCGACUGCAGCUGGUCUGCGGCAUCCCUGGUGGCUGGAAAGCAGAGCAGAGGGAAGAGUAGCAGAGAGAGCGGGCCUGGGCCAGUAAGAACACAUAAUGAAUUUGGAAGGAACAUUGGAUCUGGAUGAAUUCUCAGAAACACAUAUAUGCAGCAGAGUUAUGAUUGGGCUGAGUGAAAGCUUUAAUCCCACAUGGAGGAGGAGGGCAGGUUUGGAAAUGCAGCCAGCAAAUUGAAGAAGGUAUUCAGAGAGAGCAAAAUGCCAUGGGUAAUGGAUUGAGUCCCUUGACUGAAGCCACAAAAGAAGAUAACCUCCUGGACAUUUUUACUCAUUAAAAACAUAACCUGGUAUUGCUGACAUUCAGUUUAUUUUUUGCAGGUCUCUUAUUGCCCAGUGACUAAAAUGGCCUCAUAUGCUACUUUCAAUAUUCAAGAGCAUUUGCUUCCUCUGGAAUUUAUCAAGUAUUUCAGCAAUAUUGCACCAUUAUUUAGGUCCAUUUCAGUACAAAAUACCAUUUACUGUAAUUCUAAAGUCCUUCAAGUUUUCUUGCAUGCUUUCUAGAGAAUAAUCCAUAAACAAACAUGUAGAGAGGGAAAGCUGCCACUUAAAGGGCAUCUUUGCUGACUCUCACAGACAACACAAAGAUUGUUCUGAAAGCCGAGUUUCACCAGCUAAUGCAUUAUGAUGGUAAAUCUAGCCUUCAUGUGCCUGAUUUUCUCCCAUCCAAGCACUAA
Heterocephalus glaber (naked mole-rat) is the source of this 810-nucleotide long non-coding RNA. RefSeq lists it as uncharacterized. NCBI's taxonomy places the organism in Eukaryota, Metazoa, Chordata, Mammalia, Rodentia, Bathyergidae. The record is from RefSeq and is a predicted model, not a curated record.